RNAcentral lists this RNase P RNA (331 nucleotides) under Candidatus Zambryskibacteria bacterium RIFCSPHIGHO2_02_FULL_38_22. RNAcentral describes it as "RNase P RNA component class A". It matches the Rfam family "Bacterial RNase P class A". From Rfam's summary of the family: Ribonuclease P (RNase P) is a ubiquitous endoribonuclease, found in archaea, bacteria and eukarya as well as chloroplasts and mitochondria. Its best characterised activity is the generation of mature 5'-ends of tRNAs by cleaving the 5'-leader elements of precursor-tRNAs. RNAcentral also lists the same sequence under 2 other names. Lineage: Bacteria; Candidatus Zambryskiibacteriota. The record is from RNAcentral.
UUCUCAUUCCGGGCAGUAGCUCCGAUUUUUUAGUCGGGGAGGAAAGUCCGAACACGGUCCCGAUAUUUAUCGGGAAAAAUAGUAGUGGGUAACGCCCAUCUGGAGCAAUCCAAGAGAUGCGAACAGUGACGUCCAGAUUUGAAAGAAUUUGGAUAUCCCUUUGGGAUAAAUCUUUAUGGCAACAUAAAGAGUGCAACGGCAAAAUUCUUACUUCUGUGCAAGGCCGUGUCCGCCGAUAAGGCGGAAGUGCCGCUUGAUCUCUCUGGUAACAGACGAGACAGAUAAAUUACUGCAAUCAAAACAGAAUUCGGCUUACGAGAAUGAGAACCUG